CAAUAGCGUAUAUUUAAGUUGUUGCAGUUAAAAAGCUCGUAGUUGGAUUUCGGGUGGGACGCAGCGGUCUCGCAUUGCGUUUGUACUGCUGCAGCCCUCCUUCUUGCCGGGGGCGGCCUCUCGGACUUCACUGUCUGGGGGUCAGAAUCGGCGAUGUUACUUUGAGUAAAUUAGAGUGUUCAAAGCAAGCUUACGCUCUGAAUAUAAUAGCAUGGGAUAACACGACAGGACUCUGCCUAUCGUGUUGGUCUAUAGGACCAGAGUAAUGAUUAAGAGGGACAGUCGGGGGCAUUCGUAUUCCGUUGUCAGAGGUGAAAUUCUUGGAUUUACGGAAGACGAACAUCUGCGAAAGCAUUUGCCAAGGAUGUUUUCAUUGA
RNAcentral lists this ribosomal RNA (377 nucleotides) under uncultured eukaryote. RNAcentral's name for it is "partial 18S ribosomal RNA". It matches the Rfam family "Eukaryotic small subunit ribosomal RNA", at positions 592 to 976 of the family's 1831-position model. The record is from RNAcentral.